Molecule: ribosomal RNA, 483 nt
Filed under: uncultured bacterium
Lineage: Bacteria
Description: partial 16S ribosomal RNA
Rfam family: Bacterial small subunit ribosomal RNA
Source: RNAcentral
GAUGAACGCUGUCGGCGUGCCUAAUACAUGCAAGUCGAGCGAACCACUUCGGUGGUGAGCGGCGAACGGGUGAGUAACACGUAGGUGAUCUUCCCAUCAGACGGGGACAACGAUUGGAAACGAUCGCUAAUACCGGAUAGGACGAAAGUUUAAAGGUGCUUCUGGCACCGCUGAUGGAUGAGCCUGCGGCGCAUUAGCUAGUUGGUAGGGUCAAGGCCUACCAAGGCGACGAUGCGUAGCCGUCCUGAGAGGGUGAACGGCCACACUGGGACUGAGACACGGCCCAGACUCCUACGGGAGGCAGGGGUAGGGAAUGUUCGGCAAUGGGCGAAAGCCUGACCGAGCAAGGCCGUGUGAUUGAUGAAGGCCGUCGGGUUGUAAAAUUCUGUUAUAAGGGAAGAACGACUUUAGUAGGAAAUGGCUAGAGUGUGACGGUACCUUAUGAGAAAGCCACGGCUAACUACGUGCCAGCAGCCGCCGUAA